Molecule: ribosomal RNA, 481 nt
Filed under: uncultured bacterium
Lineage: Bacteria
Description: partial 16S ribosomal RNA
Rfam family: Bacterial small subunit ribosomal RNA
Source: RNAcentral
GAUGAACGCUGGCGGCGUGCUUAACACAUGCAAGUCGAACGAAGCACUUUAUUUGAUUUCCUUCGGGACUGAUUAUGUUGUGACUGAGUGGCGGACGGGUGAGUAACGCGUGGGUAACCUGCCUUGUACAGGGGGAUAACAGUAGGAAACGGCUGCUAAUACCGCAUAAGCGCACGGCAUCGCAUGAUGCAGUGCGAAAAACUCCGGUGGUAUAAGAUGGAGCCGCGUUGGAUCAGCUAGUUGGUGAGGUAACGGCCCACCAAGGCGACGAUCCAUACCCGACCUGAGAGGCUGACCCGCCACAUUGGGGCUGAGCCGCAGCCAGAACUCCUGCGGGAGGCAGCAGUGGGGAAUCUUGCAAAAUGGGCGGAAGCCUGAUGCAGCGACGCCGCGUGAGCGCAGAUGUACUUCGGUAUGUAAAGCUCUAUCGGCAGGGAAGAUAAUGACGGUACCUUACUAAGAAGCACCGGCUAACUACGUG